RNAcentral lists this ribosomal RNA (845 nucleotides) under uncultured bacterium. RNAcentral's name for it is "bacterial SSU rRNA". It matches the Rfam family "Bacterial small subunit ribosomal RNA", at positions 26 to 898 of the family's 1533-position model. The record is from RNAcentral.
AGGAUGAACGCUGGCGGCGUGCCUAACACAUGCAAGUCGAGCGAUCUUCUUUCGGAAGAGAGCCGGCGGACGGGUGAGUAACGCGUGGGUAACCUGCCCUGUACACACGGAUAACAUACCGAAAGGUAUGCUAAUACGGGAUAACAUAUGAAAGUCACAUGACUUUCAUAUCAAAGCUUUUGCGGUACAGGAUGGACCCGCGUCUGAUUAGCUAGUUGGUAAGGUAACGACUUACCAAGGCGACGAUCAGUAGCCGACCUGAGAGGGUGAUCGGCCACACUGGAACUGAGACACGGUCCAGACUCCUACGGGAGGCAGCAGUGGGGAAUAUUGCACAAUGGGCGAAAGCCUGAUGCAGCAACGCCGCGUGAGCGAUGAAGGCCUUCGGGUCGUAAAGCUCUGUCCUCAAGGAAGAUAAUGACGGUACUUGAGGAGGAAGCCCCGGCUAACUACGUGCCAGCAGCCGCGGUAAUACGUAGGGGGCUAGCGUUAUCCGGAAUUACUGGGCGUAAAGGGUGCGUAGGCGGUCUUUCAAGCCAGAAGUGAAAGGCUACGGCUCAACCGUAGUAAGCUUUUGGAACUGUAGGACUUGAGUGCAGGAGAGGAGAGUAGAAUUCCUAGUGUAGCGGUGAAAUGCGUAGAUAUUAGGAGGAAUACCAGUAGCGAAGGCGGCUCUCUGGACUGUAACUGACGCUGAGGCACGAAAGCGUGGGGAGCGAACAGGAUUAGAUACCCUGGUAGUCCACGCCGUAAACGAUGAGUACUAGGUGUCGGGGGUUACCCCCCUCGGUGCCGCAGCUAACGCAUUAAGUACUCCGCCUGGGAAGUACGCUCGCAAGAGUGAA